RNAcentral lists this ribosomal RNA (537 nucleotides) under Melitaea varia. RNAcentral's name for it is "Mellicta varia partial 16S ribosomal RNA". It matches the Rfam family "Bacterial large subunit ribosomal RNA", at positions 1807 to 2611 of the family's 2925-position model. The record is from RNAcentral. Lineage: Eukaryota; Metazoa; Arthropoda; Insecta; Lepidoptera; Nymphalidae.
UCAAAAACAUGUCUUUUUGAAAAUAAUUUAAAGUCUAAUCUGCCCACUGAUAAAAUUAUUAAAGGGCUGCAGUAUAUUGACUGUACAAAGGUAGCAUAAUCAUUAGUCUUUUAAUUGAAGACUUGUAUGAAAGAUUUGAUGAAAUAUAUACUGUCUCUAAUUUAUUAAUAAAAAUUAAUUUCUUAGUUAAAAAGCUAAGAUAAUAUUAAAAGACGAGAAGACCCUAUAAAGUUUUAUAAUUUAAUUAUUUAAUAUUAAUUAUAUAAUUAAAUAUAAUAAUUAAUUAAAAUUAUUUUAUUGGGGUGAUAGAAAAAUUUAAUUAACUUUUUUUAAAAAAUAAACAUUAAUAAGUGAAAUAAUGAUCCAUUAUUAGUGAUUAAAAGAAAAAAUUACUUUAGGGAUAACAGCGUAAUAUUUUUUUUUAGUACAAAUAAAAAAGAAAGUUUGCGACCUCGAUGUUGGAUUAAGAUAAAAUUUAAAUGCAAAAGUUUAAAAUUUUGAUCUGUUCGAUCAUUAAAAUCUUACAUGAUCUGAGCU